Molecule: long non-coding RNA, 1673 nt
Organism: Phymastichus coffea
Lineage: Eukaryota; Metazoa; Arthropoda; Insecta; Hymenoptera; Eulophidae
Exons: 3
Source: RefSeq, a predicted model, not a curated record
GCCGCUCUACGAGCUCGAGGCUCGACUCUCGUUUUUUCACAGCGCCGCUUAUAUUAUGCAGGUAAUUUUUGAAUUAUUUGCAGUUCGCGUGGAAAUUGCCGGCGCACUGGGGACUCGGGCUUGAGGGCGAACUACAGAAAUGAAGAAAUUGUUGGAUGUGGGCUUUGCGCGUCUGUCCGUAAAUAGUCGACAGGGAGAAAAAGACUGCGAUGUACCUGAAUCUUGGUCUGCAAAGUGUGUAGCUUGCAUCUCACUUGCGCAACAGUAUUCGACAGCAGCGGCUGCACGCUCAAAAUGGCGCCACGCGGUGAGCGAACGCGAGAUAGAAAAACGCCUUGCUGUUGCUGCUCGGAAACUUGUUCUUUCAGUUUCUCUCCUACAUGAAAGCGUGACGUCACCGUGAUUAAUAUAAACUCCUCGCCGUCGCCGUCGUCAUCGUGUACGGAAAUGACGUCAUGUCUUUGUCUUUUUUUAUCGCUGACACAGACACGUGCCAAGAGCUUUUUUUAAAAUACCGGUGCUCGCAACUUAGAGGCCUAUGUAGAGGUCGUAGCGGCUAGAAAUAGAAGUGGCGCGACAGAAAGAAAACGAGAAGCUGCAGUUGGCAUGAAUUAUGAACAACACAGUCGAGAUCUUUUGUUUUUAUCGUCCAGCGUCUGACGCCAGUGCCGUUGCUACUGCUGCUGCUGUUGGAAUACACGCAGAAAUGCAAAUCGCUCACCGGAGGGUGAGCAUGUCGCCAACUUGAGGGGGAUAAAAAGAAGAUUAGCCAGGCCGAGUAAGAAACCGGACACCGCAUCAUCCGCGCACGAGAGCCAGCCAAGAAAAAGAACGGCUCGUUUGACCAGAUAAUACACUUUGUAAAGCUGCGUCCAGUUAUUUGGAAAUGCUCAUUAGAUUAAUCAUGUCUUUUUUCUUUAACGGUUUUUCACAGUCUUUCUCUAGCCAAAUCAUAAAUUUGCGUCUUUCAAUCCAUUUUUCGUAAAUAGUCGUUGAUGAUGAUUGUGCUUAGAUAUAAACUAUUUCUAUUUUUAAAGUAUUUGAAAGUAACGACUAAACAGUUCUAUUUACAUAGGAAAAAGUAAAUAAAGUUUAAAUAAAAGCGUAAUACUUGAAAGGCCUAAUCAAGACAAACGUAACUGAACGAAUAUAAAAUAUAAACAGAAAAGACCAAACGUAUAACUGUAUUGAUAGCUUCCAUAAUUCAAAAAUAAUUCUACCUCAAUAAUAGUCUUUCUUCCCCUCAUUAAUAAUUCAAGUAAGUAAAACGAUAGGAAAAAGCGCGCGAUAAAUUAGUAAAAGCUUCUUAUUUGCUAUCGCUUCUAAAAUUCACAUUGCCCGCUGCAAGUGGAAGGUGGGAUCGUCGCAUUUAUUAAGUUUCUCUGGAAAGUGUACGUGUAUCCCUUCUGUCGGCUGAGGGGAUAUGAAGCGACGAUAGGUGAGUGUUAUAUACCCCACCAAGCAUUUUUAACCCCCACCAUGGCGCGUCCAACGGGCGAGUGCUCACUCCUAGAAAAUAGUGGAGGGGCAUGUCGCCCGAUUAGAUAAGUAGGGGAGGUUUAGAUGAAACUUUAGAUAAUUUCAGCUAUCUUGGCCUUCUCUCUCUCUCUCUCUCUCUCUCUCUCUCUCUUUCUCUCACUCUCUCGACGCAACAGCUCCCCUGCGACGCCGCC